GUGAGGAAUUUUCCGCAAUGGGCGAAAGCCUGACGGAGCAAUGCCGCGUGAAGGAUGAAGGCCUAUGGGUUGUAAACUUCUUUUCUCAGAAAAGAAUUAUGACGGUAUCUGAGGAAUAAGCAUCGGCUAACUCUGUGCCAGCAGCCGCGGUAAGACAGAGGAUGCAAGCGUUCCGGAAUGAUUGGGCGUAAAGCGUCUGUAGGUUGUUUAAAAAGUAUUCUGUCAAAGAUUAGGGCUUAACCAUAGAUAGGCAGAAUAAACUUUUAAGCUAGAGGUUGGUAGAGGCAGAUGUAAUUCCCGCUGGAGCGGUGAAAUGCGUAGAUAUCGGGAGGAACACCAAAGGCGAAGGCACUCUGCUGGGCCAAUACUAACACUGAGAGACGAAAGCGAGGGGAGCAAAUGGGAUUAGAUACCCUGGUAGUCC
Molecule: ribosomal RNA, 424 nt
Filed under: uncultured bacterium
Lineage: Bacteria
Description: partial 16S ribosomal RNA
Rfam family: Bacterial small subunit ribosomal RNA
Source: RNAcentral